GUCAGCUCGUGUCGUGAGAUGUUCGGUUAAGUCCGCUAACGAGCGCAACCCUCGUCGUGUGUUAUAUGUGUCAUACGAGACUGCCGGUAAAAAGCCGGAGGAAGGUGAGGAUGAUGUCAAGUCAGCAUGACCUUUAUAUCCAGGGCUACACACACGCUACAAUGGUCUGUACAAUGGGUAGCCAAGCCGCGAGGCGGAGCCAAUCCUGAAAGCAGGCCUCAGUUCAGAUUGCAGUCUGCAACUCGACUGCAUGAAGCCGGAGUUGCUAGUAACCGCAGGCAGCAAUACUGCGGUGAAUACGUUCCCGGGUCUU
This 313-nucleotide ribosomal RNA is filed under the name uncultured Anaerolineaceae bacterium. RNAcentral's name for it is "bacterial SSU rRNA". It matches the Rfam family "Bacterial small subunit ribosomal RNA", at positions 1054 to 1382 of the family's 1533-position model. Lineage: Bacteria; Bacillati; Chloroflexota; Anaerolineae; Anaerolineales; Anaerolineaceae. The record is from RNAcentral.